GACGAACGCUGGCGGCGUGCCUAAUACAUGCAAGUUGAGCGAUGAAGAUUGGUGCUUGCCCCAAUUUGAAGAGCAGCGAACGGGUGAGUAACGCGUGGGGAAUCUGCCUUUGAGCGGGGGACAACAUUUGGAAACGAAUGCUAAUACCGCAUAACAACUUUAAACAUAAGUUUUAAGUUUGAAAGAUGCAAUUGCAUCACUCAAAGAUGAUCCCGCGUUGUAUUAGCUAGUUGGUGAGGUAAAGGCUCACCAAGGCGAUGAUACAUAGCCGACCUGAGAGGGGGGUCGGCCGCCUUGGGACGGGGCCACGGCCCAAACGCCUGAGGGAGGGCGCAGUAGGGAAUCGUAGGCAAUGGACGAAAGUCUGGCCGAGCAAGGCCGCGUGAGUGAAGAAGGUGUUCGGAGCGUAAAACUCUGUUGGUAGAGAAGAACGGUGGUGAGAGUGGAAAGCGCAUCAAGUGACGGUAACUACCCAGAAAGGGACGGCUAACUACGUG
RNAcentral lists this ribosomal RNA (497 nucleotides) under uncultured bacterium. RNAcentral's name for it is "partial 16S ribosomal RNA". It matches the Rfam family "Bacterial small subunit ribosomal RNA", at positions 28 to 507 of the family's 1533-position model. The record is from RNAcentral.